UAAGCGUGUGAUGAAAUUUUAAGGCUCAACCUUAAACUGUCAUGCGAACUGCGUCGCUAGAGUAUAUGAGGGGUAGCUGGAAUUCCUAGUGUAGGAGUGAAAUCCGUAGAUAUUAGGAGGAACACCAAUGGCGUAGGCAGGCUACUGGCAUAUUACUGACACUGAGGCACGAAAGCGUGGGAGCGAACGGGAUUAGAUACCCCGGUAGUCCACGCCGUAAACGAUGGAUGCUA
This 233-nucleotide ribosomal RNA is filed under the name uncultured Candidatus Saccharibacteria bacterium. RNAcentral's name for it is "partial 16S ribosomal RNA". It matches the Rfam family "Bacterial small subunit ribosomal RNA", at positions 584 to 818 of the family's 1533-position model. Lineage: Bacteria; Candidatus Saccharimonadota. The record is from RNAcentral.